RNAcentral lists this microRNA (21 nucleotides) under Populus trichocarpa (black cottonwood). RNAcentral describes it as "ptc-miR169aa". Its record names the gene ptc-miR169aa. The record is from miRBase by way of RNAcentral. Lineage: Eukaryota; Viridiplantae; Streptophyta; Magnoliopsida; Malpighiales; Salicaceae.
GAGCCAAGAAUGACUUGUCGG